This 253-nucleotide ribosomal RNA is filed under the name uncultured bacterium. RNAcentral describes it as "partial 16S ribosomal RNA". It matches the Rfam family "Bacterial small subunit ribosomal RNA", at positions 524 to 776 of the family's 1533-position model. The record is from RNAcentral.
UACGUAGGGGGCAAGCGUUGUCCGGAAUCAUUGGGCGUAAAGAGCGUGUAGGCGGCCCGAUAAGUCCGCUGUGAAAGUCCAGGGCUCAACCCUGGAAUGCCGGUGGAUACUGUCGGGCUCGAGUUCGGAAGAGGUGAGUGGAAUUCCUGGUGUAGCGGUGAAAUGCGCAGAUAUCAGGAGGAACACCGGUGGCGAAGGCGGAUCUCUGGGCCUUACCUGACGCUCAGGUGCGAAAGCUAGGGGAGCGAACAGG